Long non-coding RNA from Micropterus salmoides (largemouth bass), 513 nucleotides. RefSeq lists it as uncharacterized. The record is from RefSeq and is a predicted model, not a curated record. NCBI's taxonomy places the organism in Eukaryota, Metazoa, Chordata, Actinopteri, Centrarchiformes, Centrarchidae. The transcript is spliced from 3 exons.
ACCAGCAGAAGUGGUACUAAAUGAAGAGCUAUUUAGGAGCUGAAAGAGCCAGCUUGCAGAAAGGAACAGAGCCAUGAGAUCCGGCUCCCUUCAAAGAAAGGUAAUGCUGGAAGAAUAGCUUCGCCGCGCUUGUCUUCAGAUAGAGAAGCAUCCAGGCAGACAGAAACAAAAGAUCCUCAACUCCUGCGGUAACUCAGUCACUACGGAUAGAGACUGGCUCUUUGUGGAGGAGUCAAAGAAAGGGACUCAGUGGAACCACCCUCAAGGAUCCCUGGAACUCUAUUAAGGACCCUUUGAAGUCCACACUCCCAACUCCAGGAAACAGUGUGGGAGGAAACAAAGUGUUAACCAGCUGCCAGGGAGGCCUGUCUCACUGCUUGCCUCUCCUAACUCUGACAAGUCCGGACUUCUCAAGCCAGUUCCUCUCUAUAUGAUGGACGCUGUCUAACAGUUGGCCAUUUCCACUUCCUUGCAGACUUUCCCCGUCCCUCCCUCCGUUAGUUCUUUUCUUCC